RNAcentral lists this small nucleolar RNA (167 nucleotides) under Nannospalax galili (Upper Galilee mountains blind mole rat). RNAcentral's name for it is "Small nucleolar RNA SNORA81 (ENSNGAG00000006704.1)". It matches the Rfam family "Small nucleolar RNA SNORA81". Lineage: Eukaryota; Metazoa; Chordata; Mammalia; Rodentia; Spalacidae. The record is from Rfam by way of RNAcentral.
ACCUUCUCAAAUGAAGCCCCAUGCUAAAACUGCAAAAAGCAGGAUCACAUCUUGAUUUAAAGUUAGCAGAGUACACACAGGAAAAGCAGUAAGUGCAGUGGGUCCCGGAGGCUGGGCUGGACCUCGUUCUUUUUUUAAAUUAUUUUUAUUUUAUGUUUGUGAGAGUA